RNAcentral lists this ribosomal RNA (497 nucleotides) under uncultured bacterium. RNAcentral's name for it is "partial 16S ribosomal RNA". It matches the Rfam family "Bacterial small subunit ribosomal RNA", at positions 28 to 507 of the family's 1533-position model. The record is from RNAcentral.
GAUGAACGCUGGCGGCGUGCCUAAUACAUGCAAGUCGAGCGAACGGACGAGAAUCUUGCUUCUCUUAUGUUAGCGGCGGACGGGUGAUUAACACGUGGAUAACCUACCUAUAAGACUGGGAUAACUUCGGGAAACCGUAGCUAAUACCGGAUAUUAUUUUGAACCGCAGGGUUCAACAGUGAAACACGGUCUUGCUGUCCCUUAUAAGUGUAUCCGCGCUGCAUUAGCUAGUGGGUAAGGUAACGGCUUACCAAGGCAACGAUGCAUAGCCGACCUGCGAGGGUGAUCGGCCACACGGGAACUGAGACACGGUCCAGACGCCUACGGGAGGCAGCAGUAGGGAAUAUUCCGCAAUGGGCGAAAGCCUGACGGAGCAACGCCGCGUGAGUGAUGAAGGUCUUCGGAUCGUAAAGCUCUGUUAUUAGGGAAGAACAGAUGUGUAAGUAACUGUGCACAUCUUGACGGUACCUAAUCAGAAAGCCACGGCUAACUACGUG